UACGGAGGGUGCAAGCGUUAUCCGGAUUCACUGGGUUUAAAGGGUGCGUAGGUGGGCAAGUAAGUCAGUGGUGAAAUCUCCGGGCUUAACCCGGAAACUGCCAUUGAUACUAUUUGUCUUGAAUACUGUGGAGGUCAGCGGAAUAUGUCAUGUAGCGGUGAAAUGCUUAGAUAUGACAUAGAACACCAAUUGCGGAGGCAGCUGGCUACACAAAUAUUGACACUGGGGCACGAAAGCGUGGGGAUCAAACAGG
RNAcentral lists this ribosomal RNA (253 nucleotides) under uncultured bacterium. RNAcentral describes it as "partial 16S ribosomal RNA". It matches the Rfam family "Bacterial small subunit ribosomal RNA", at positions 524 to 776 of the family's 1533-position model. The record is from RNAcentral.